This 450-nucleotide ribosomal RNA is filed under the name uncultured bacterium. RNAcentral describes it as "bacterial SSU rRNA". It matches the Rfam family "Bacterial small subunit ribosomal RNA", at positions 354 to 796 of the family's 1533-position model. The record is from RNAcentral.
GUGGGGAAUAUUGGACAAUGGGCGAAAGCCUGAUCCAGCCAUGCCGCGUGUGUGAAGAAGGUCUUCGGAUUGUAAAGCACUUUAAGUUGGGAGGAAGGGCAGUAAGUUAAUACCUUGCUGUUUUGACGUUACCGACAGAAUAAGCACCGGCUAACUUCGUGCCAGCAGCCGCGGUAAUACGAAGGGUGCAAGCGUUAAUCGGAAUUACUGGGUGUAAAGCGCGCGUAGGUGGUUUUGUAAGUUGGAGGUGAAAUCCCCGGGCUCAACCUGGGAACUGCCUCCAAAACUGCAUGACUAGAGUACGGUAGAGGGUAGUGGAAUUUCCUGUGUAGCGGUGAAAUGCGUAGAUAUAGGAAGGAACACCAGUGGCGAAGGCGACUACCUGGACUGAUACUGACACUGAGGUGCGAAAGCGUGGGGAGCAAACAGGAUUAGAUACCCCAGUAGUCC